Molecule: ribosomal RNA, 374 nt
Filed under: uncultured organism
Description: partial 16S ribosomal RNA
Rfam family: Bacterial small subunit ribosomal RNA
Source: RNAcentral
GUAGGUGGCAAGCGUUGUCCGGAAUUAUUGGGCAUAAAGCGCGCGCAGGCGGGUCCUUUAAGUCUGAUGUGAAAGCCCACGGGCUCAACCGUGGAGGGUCAUUGGAAACUGGGGGACUUGAGUACAGAAGAGGAAAGCGGAAUUCCAAGUGUAGCGGUGAAAUGCGUAGAGAUUUGGAGGAACACCAGUGGCGAAGGCGGCUUUCUGGUCUGUAACUGACGCUGAGGCGCGAAAGCGUGGGGAGCAAACAGGAUUAGAUACCCUGGUAGUCCACGCCGUAAACGAUGAGUGCUAAGUGUUAGGGGGUUUCCGCCCCUUAGUGCUGCAGCUAACGCAUUAAGCACUCCGCCUGGGGAGUACGGCCGCAAAGGCUG